CAGCCGCCGCGGUAAUACGGAGGGUGCAAGCGUUGUUCGGAAUUAUUGGGCGUAAAGCGCGUGUAGGCGGGAAGGCAGGUCAGGUGUGAAAUCCCUUGGCUUAACCAAGGAACUGCAUCUGAAACCAUUUUCCUCGAGUACGAUAGGGGAGGGCGGAAUUCCCAGUGUAGAGGUGAAAUUCAUAGAUAUUGGGAGGAACACCAGUGGCGAAGGCGACCCUCUGGAUCGAUACUGACGCUGAGACGCGAAAGCGUGGGUAGCAAACAGGAUUAGAUACCCUGGUAGUCCACGCUGUAAACGAUGUGCACUAGGUGUUGGAGGUACUUAAUCCUCCAGUGCCGCAGCUAACGCAUUAAGUGCACCGCCUGGGGAAUACGGCCGCAAGGUUAAAACUCAAAGGAAUUGACGG
This 409-nucleotide ribosomal RNA is filed under the name uncultured bacterium. RNAcentral describes it as "bacterial SSU rRNA". It matches the Rfam family "Bacterial small subunit ribosomal RNA", at positions 509 to 916 of the family's 1533-position model. The record is from RNAcentral.